RNAcentral lists this ribosomal RNA (397 nucleotides) under uncultured bacterium. Its description in RNAcentral is "partial 16S ribosomal RNA". It matches the Rfam family "Bacterial small subunit ribosomal RNA", at positions 523 to 918 of the family's 1533-position model. The record is from RNAcentral.
AUACGUAGGUGACAAGCGUUAUCCGGAUUUACUGGGCGUAAAGGGCGUGUAGGCGGUCUUGCAAGUCAGAAGUGAAAUUCCUGAGCUCAACUCGGGCGCUGCUUCUGAAACUGCAGGACUUGAGUGCUGGAGGGGAUAGCGGAAUUCCUAGUGGAGCGGUAAAAUGCGCAGAUAUUAGGAAGAACACCGGUGGCGAAGGCGGCUAUCUGGACAGUAACGGACGCUGAGGCGCGAAAGCGUGGGGAGCAAACAGGAUUAGAUACCCGGGUAGUCCACGCCGUAAACGAUGAAUACUAGGUGUAGGGGGUAUCGACUCCCUCUGUGCCGCAGUUAACACAAUAAGUAUUCCGCCUGGGGAGUACGGCCGCAAGGUUGAAACUCAAAGGAAUUGACGGGG